CCUACGGGAGGCAGCAGUGAGGAAUAUUGGUCAAUGGCCGGAAGGCUGAACCAGCCAAGCCGCGUGAAGGACGAAGGUGCCAAGCAUUGUAAACUUCUUUUGUCAAGGGACAAAAUCAGGCUCGAGAGCCUGACCGAGGGUACUUGAAGAAAAAGCAUCGGCUAACUCCGUGCCAGCAGCCGCGGUAAUACGGAGGAUGCGAGCGUUGUCCGGAAUGACUGGGCGUAAAGGGUGUGUAGGCGGUGUAGCAAGUUAGAAGUGAAAUACCUAGAGCUUAACUCAGGUGCUGCUUCUAAAACUGCUAUACUUGAGUGCAGUAGAGGAAAGUGGAAUUCCUGGUGUAGCGGUGGAAUGCGUAGAUAUUAGGAGGAACAUCAGUGGCGAAGGCGACUUUCUGGACUGUAACUGACGCUGAGGCACGAAAGUGUGGGGAGCAAACAGGAUUAGAUACCCCAGUAGUC
RNAcentral lists this ribosomal RNA (461 nucleotides) under uncultured bacterium. RNAcentral describes it as "partial 16S ribosomal RNA". It matches the Rfam family "Bacterial small subunit ribosomal RNA", at positions 338 to 795 of the family's 1533-position model. The record is from RNAcentral.